Molecule: ribosomal RNA, 479 nt
Filed under: uncultured bacterium
Lineage: Bacteria
Description: SSU rRNA
Rfam family: Bacterial small subunit ribosomal RNA
Source: RNAcentral
AGGACGAACGCUGGCGGCGUGCUUAACACAUGCAAGUCGAACGGAAAGGCCCUUUCGGGGGUACUCGAGUGGCGAACGGGUGAGUAACACGUGGGUGAUCUGCCCUGCACUUCGGGAUAAGCUUGGGAAACUGAGUCUAAUACCGGAUAUGACCAUGGGAUGCAUGUCUUGUGGUGGAAAGCUUUUGCGGUGUGGGAUGGGCCCGCGGCCUAUCAGCUUGUUGGUGGGGUGAUGGCCUACCAAGGCGACGACGGGUAGCCGGCCUGAGAGGGUGUCCGGCCACACUGGGACUGAGAUACGGCCCAGACUCCUACGGGAGGCAGCAGUGGGGAAUAUUGCACAAUGGGCGCAAGCCUGAUGCAGCGACGCCGCGUGGGGGAUGACGGCCUCGGGUUGUAAACCUCUUUCAGUAGGGACGAAGCGCAAGUGACGGUACCUACAGAAGAAGCACCGGCCAACUACGCGCCAGCAGCCGCGGU